This 253-nucleotide ribosomal RNA is filed under the name uncultured bacterium. RNAcentral's name for it is "partial 16S ribosomal RNA". It matches the Rfam family "Bacterial small subunit ribosomal RNA", at positions 524 to 776 of the family's 1533-position model. The record is from RNAcentral.
UACGAAGGGGGCUAGCGUUGCUCGGAAUCACUGGGCGUAAAGGGUGCGUAGGCGGGUUUUUAAGUCAGGGGUGAAAUCCUGGAGCUCAACUCCAGAACUGCCUUUGAUACUGAAGAUCUUGAGUCCGGGAGAGGUGAGUGGAACUGCGAGUGUAGAGGUGAAAUUCGUAGAUAUUCGCAAGAACACCAGUGGCGAAGGCGGUUCUCUGGGCCUGUACUGACGCUGAGGAACGAAAGCGUGGGGAGCGAACAGG